This 253-nucleotide ribosomal RNA is filed under the name uncultured bacterium. Its description in RNAcentral is "partial 16S ribosomal RNA". It matches the Rfam family "Bacterial small subunit ribosomal RNA", at positions 524 to 776 of the family's 1533-position model. The record is from RNAcentral.
UACAGAGGUCCCGAGCGUUGUUCGGAUUCAUUGGGCGUAAAGGGUGCGUAGGUGGCAAGGUAAGUCGGAUGUGAAAUCCCGGGGCUCAACCCCGGAACUGCAUUCGAUACUGCCUGGCUAGAGUACUGGAGAGGAGAUUGGAAUUUACGGUGUAGCAGUGAAAUGCGUAGAUAUCGUAAGGAAGACCAGUGGCGAAGGCGGAUCUCUGGACAGUUACUGACGCUGAGGCACGAAGGCCAGGGGAGCAAACGGG